This 265-nucleotide long non-coding RNA is filed under the name Bos taurus (domestic cattle). RNAcentral's name for it is "long non-coding RNA NONBTAT022154". Lineage: Eukaryota; Metazoa; Chordata; Mammalia; Artiodactyla; Bovidae. The record is from RNAcentral.
GACAUUUUGAAGACUACAAUAGCAACCCAAAUUGAAAGUUUUUGUUAUUUAAAAGACUGAGCUUUCGUUAAUAUGAUAUUUCUUUUAAAGUGGAGGAAAUGCAGUGUUGAUGUUAGAAACUAAAACUGUUGCUUUAUUUUUAUCACCUUAUGGAAAUUUAAAGAAUUAAAUACAUGGAACGAUAUAACUCUGAACUUAUUAGUUUAAUGUUUUUAAUAAUUAUUUCAGUGGUUUAUGUAGUUUGUUUCAUCAGCAGUUGAGUAAA